GAUGAACGCUGGCGGCGUGCCUAAUACAUGCAAGUCGAGCGAACAGACGAGGAGCUUGCUCCUCUGACGUUAGCGGCGGACGGGUGAGUAACACGUGGAUAACCUACCUAUAAGACUGGGAUAACUUCGGGAAACCGGAGCUAAUACCGGAUAAUAUAUUGAACCGCAUGGUUCAAUAGUGAAAGACGGUUUUGCUGUCACUUAUAGAUGGAUCCGCGCCGCAUUAGCUAGUUGGUAAGGUAACGGCUUACCAAGGCAACGAUGGGUAGCCGACCUGAGAGGAGGACAGGGAACAAGGGGACGUAGAUACGGCGAAGAAGUGGAGGGGAGGAAGCAAUGAGGAAUAUAGCGGAAAGAGUGAAAGAAGGAAGUAACGGUGACGAGUGAGGGAGGAAGGAUGGCGGGUCGUAAACCACAGUAAGCAGGGAAGAAGAGAAAGGGACGGUAACUGCAGAAGAAGCGAAGGCUAAGUAGGUG
RNAcentral lists this ribosomal RNA (477 nucleotides) under uncultured bacterium. RNAcentral describes it as "partial 16S ribosomal RNA". It matches the Rfam family "Bacterial small subunit ribosomal RNA", at positions 28 to 507 of the family's 1533-position model. The record is from RNAcentral.